Molecule: ribosomal RNA, 233 nt
Filed under: uncultured bacterium
Lineage: Bacteria
Description: partial 16S ribosomal RNA
Rfam family: Bacterial small subunit ribosomal RNA
Source: RNAcentral
CACGGGUGAGUAACACGUAUCCAACCUGCCGUCUACUCUUGGACAGCCUUCUGAAAGGAAGAUUAAUACAAGAUGGCAUCAUGAGUCCGCAUGUUCACAUGAUUAAAGGUAUUCCGGUAGACGAUGGGGAUGCGUUCCAUUAGAUAGUAGGCGGGGUAACGGCCCACCUAGUCAACGAUGGAUAGGGGUUCUGAGAGGAAGGUCCCCCACAUUGGAACUGAGACACGGUCCAA